Long non-coding RNA from Nymphaea colorata (pocket water lily), 1493 nucleotides. RefSeq lists it as uncharacterized. The record is from RefSeq and is a predicted model, not a curated record. Lineage: Eukaryota; Viridiplantae; Streptophyta; Magnoliopsida; Nymphaeales; Nymphaeaceae. The transcript is spliced from 2 exons.
GAAAUAAGUGAGAGAACAAAAGAAAAAAUUAGUUAAAAACUAGUUCUAUAAUAAAAUCUCAAUGAGAUACUAAGUAAAAUAUGGGGAUUGACGAUAAGUAAAAUAUCAGACCUUUCUGUCUGCACGUAUUUCGCGUUCUCCCUUUCCCUUUGCCUUGUCCUAUUCAUAUCAUCGGACCUUUUUCGUUCUUCCAAAGUUGUGUUGAACUCUCAACAUGACCGAAGUUGCCUUCAUGACUUCAUCUGGGUAAUUCAUAUCUUUAUAUUGCGAAAUCACGGCGUUCCUGAUCGAUCCUGUGGGACGAUGGCCGUCAUUGCUCGGGCUGAACCCCAGCGUGUUCGAGAAGAUGGCAAAGAAGGCCAAGGAAUUGGGGCCGUACAACGGAUCUACUAUGUACAGCCAUGCCCUCUACGCUGUCUGCACGAUAAGUGAACCAGUGUGGGAUGCCAAACUCGUGGUGGUGAAGGAAUUCGGAUGGACUCAGGAGGAUACAAUGGCAGCCUUUCAGAAGGCCCCGCCCUUCCUGACGAUAUCCGCGGGCAGUCUGAAGAGGAAACUCAAGUUCUUUGUGGACGAACUCAGUUGCAAUCCUGCAUCGAUGCUCAGCUUGGAGAAACGAGUCAUUCCCCGGCUCGCUGUGAUCAAGAUGUUGGAUUCAAAGGAUCUUUGCAAAUUGCAAGAGGAAGAACAGUUUCAAUACGAUUUCGCAUAUGAAAGAUGAGGAAUUCUACGUGGAAUAUGUGCUUAAGCAUAAGGAUGAAUGUCCAGACUUUCUUGAAGUUUAUAGUAGCAGCACCAAUGGCGACUCUGGUGCAUAAACUUAUUUUACUUGAACAAGGUAGAGCAAGUGUGGUGCUGCUUUAUCUUCGUCUUGGUAUCAUUUUUUAUGUUUUCUGCAUAUUCGUUUUUCUGUUGGAUGAAGUUGCUAUUCGUAAUUUCCCCGUGAUGUCAAACAAGUCAUCAUGCCAAGAACAGGUGCCUGGAGAUCCUAGCUUUCGGCUGCUGAGUACUGAGGUCGACUUAGAGUUAUAAGAAUGAGAGCCAACUUGAAAUUUUGGGCUUGGUGCACCUUUUUGCUGGAGGAGCGUACUUCUGGUUACUCUGGCGCUUAGCUCUCUGAUACAAGAAAUUCAUACCUUCCGAUUGCGGCUAGUUGGAAUGAUGCAUGUUAUGAAGGUUUUUGGUGAACAUGCAUAGAUCUGGACACUUGUAGUUGCCUCCAAGUGUUUCUGUUCACCUGUGCCAUGUGGAUGCAGACCAAAUACAGGGAUUCUGCUUUUCUGAUGAAGUUUGCAAAAUAGUUUCUAUGUGGGGGUCAUAGUACAGGAGUCGAAGUGGAGACCUAAUGAUUGUUAAAUACCGUAAUUCAUCGUUGAACACCGAAAGGAGGUAUAUGGGGCCUACAGUUUAUGUGAAAGCCCUGUAGACAAAUAUUUUCCAUCCACAGUAUCAGUUGUUGAAAUGAAAGCAUAAUGGCCAUCGAAUUUCAAGUA